UACGUAGGGGGCGAGCGUUACCCGGAAUUACUGGGCGUAAAGCGUGCGCAGGCGGCUCGUUAAGUCAGAUGUGAAAGCCCCGGGCUCAACCUGGGAACUGCAUUUGAAACUGGCGGGCUUGAGUAUGGCAGAGGGGGGUGGAAUUCCGCGUGUAGCAGUGAAAUGCGUAGAGAUGCGGAGGAACACCGAUGGCGAAGGCAGCCCCCUGGGCCAAUACUGACGCUCAGGCACGAAAGCGUGGGGAGCAAACAGG
Molecule: ribosomal RNA, 253 nt
Filed under: uncultured bacterium
Lineage: Bacteria
Description: partial 16S ribosomal RNA
Rfam family: Bacterial small subunit ribosomal RNA
Source: RNAcentral